RNAcentral lists this ribosomal RNA (504 nucleotides) under Clostridium sp. chh4-2. RNAcentral's name for it is "Bacterial large subunit ribosomal RNA". It matches the Rfam family "Bacterial large subunit ribosomal RNA", at positions 1141 to 1657 of the family's 2925-position model. The record is from Rfam by way of RNAcentral. Lineage: Bacteria; Bacillati; Bacillota; Clostridia; Eubacteriales; Clostridiaceae.
CUCACUAGUCGAGAGGUCCUGCGCCGAAAAUGUCCGGGGCUAAAACACAACACCGAAGCUUAGGAAUUGUCGUAAGACAAUUGGUAGAGGAGCAUUCUUAACGCGUCGAAGCAGUACCGUAAGGAGCUGUGGAGUGUUAAGAAGAGAGAAUGCCGGAAUGAGUAGCGAGAUGGAGGUGGGAAUCCUCCAGGCCGAAUAUCUAAGGUUUCCAGAGUAAAGCUGAUCUGCUCUGGGUAAGUCGGGGCCUAAGGCGAGGUCGAAAGACGUAGUCGAUGGACAACAGGUGGAAAUUCCUGUACCGCGUAUCAUCAGAACUGUGGGGACACAGAACCAAAGUCAAACCCGGGAAUGAAAAGACCGGGGCAAGCAUCUGACUGGUUAAGCAGGCAAAUCCGCUUAACAACAGGACGGUGUGACGCGUACCGAAAUUACAGUAGGGAAGUUGGCGGAGGGGCUGUCAAGAAAAGCCGCUAUUGUGUGAUAUGUGCCCGUACCGUAAACCGA